Trichosurus vulpecula (common brushtail) is the source of this 106-nucleotide small nuclear RNA. The record is from RefSeq and is a predicted model, not a curated record. Lineage: Eukaryota; Metazoa; Chordata; Mammalia; Diprotodontia; Phalangeridae.
GUACUCACUUUCUCACCUCAAAUGCUAAAAUUGGAAAGAUACAGAGAUUAGUAUGGCCCCUGCCCAAGAAUGAUGUGAAAUUUUUUGUUAAACAUUUUUUAUUUUU